RNAcentral lists this transfer RNA (87 nucleotides) under Aspergillus brasiliensis. Its description in RNAcentral is "tRNA-Lys". It matches the Rfam family "tRNA". Rfam says of the family: Transfer RNA (tRNA) molecules are approximately 80 nucleotides in length. Their secondary structure includes four short double-helical elements and three loops (D, anti-codon, and T loops). Further hydrogen bonds mediate the characteristic L-shaped molecular structure. tRNAs have two regions of fundamental functional importance: the anti-codon, which is responsible for specific mRNA codon recognition, and the 3' end, to which the tRNAs corresponding amino acid is attached (by aminoacyl-tRNA synthetases). tRNAs cope with the degeneracy of the genetic code in two manners: having more than one tRNA (with a specific anti-codon) for a particular amino acid; and 'wobble' base-pairing, i.e. permitting non-standard base-pairing at the 3rd anti-codon position. Lineage: Eukaryota; Fungi; Ascomycota; Eurotiomycetes; Eurotiales; Aspergillaceae. The record is from RNAcentral. RNAcentral also lists the same sequence under 1 other name.
GCCCGGUUAGCUCAAUUGGUUAGUAGCGUCGGACUUUUACGAUCACAUGUGAUCCGAAGGUUGCGAGUUCGAGUCUCGCAUCGGGCG